GGGAGGAGGGGAAGUCUCCAGCUUCGUGGACAUUGUUCCAGGUAACGACGUCAAAGUCAGGGAACAAGGGGAACGACUCAUUAUCGGUCAUGGCCGCAGACUUGGUGGCCAGACAUGUGGACUCGGGGGCGUCUACAUGGAAGUGUCCACGGACUGCUGGCCCGUAACAUCUAUGUGACAUCGGCCCAUGACAAAUACCGCUAGACGGGCAAUUAAGAGCUAGUCUGCCAGGUCCCUCCCCCGUACAGGCCACCGUACGGUACAAGGACCUAGAGCUAGGGUUUUGCUAGCUUCGAAGGAAGGGAGAGGGGGAUGGUCAGGUGGGCGAGCUGGGGCGCCUGGAUCCCAAGCGCGGCGGUCGGCCGCUGGGGCGGUGCAGGGCACGCGGCCACUGGUGCGGGGCAGGGCAGGCGGCGACGGGGCAUGGCAGCGGCCGCUGGGCAGCGCAGGCGGCGGCGGGGCAUGGCAGCGGGCGGGGCGGGGCAUGGCAGCGGGCGGGGCGGGGCAGUCAAAGACAGUUCUACCCCAACAGAAGCCGGCGACUCUAGCUGCCCCGCGUCGACACGUAGAAGCUGGACUCCUCUCCCGUCGUCCUCCCCGUCCUCGAGCUGUUCUAGGAGAAGAAGGUGGGCCGACUGACGGGGUAGGACGAGGUCGAGAGGCAGUAACCGGAGACGCUUCCUUAGUAGUGAAAGUGUUCUUAUAAAAGAGGUCUUCUACUGACACUCCACUAUCUUAGACUAUUUGUGACGGUGCAAAAAAUGGUUCGACUCGGUCUAUAAACCUACCAAGACCACCACGUCUUUUAAUUCCUGUUACUUAGUUGAAACGCGAAACCACGUAACGUUCCUUAUGAUUUUCUUAGAGUAAGUGAAAAGCGUUACAAAGUACCUGGUUAAGCUUGAAAUGAACUGUCUGUUGGUUCACGACUUAAACGGGCACCAGUGGAGGUAUGUAAACAGUGUCUAAUAAACUCGCUAAAAUCACAACCGUUUUUCGAUGUUAACGGUUGGAUGGCACUAUCGGAUUGCCUCGCCCCUUGUCAGGUUUACGAUUGUCAGAGUGCUCUUCACCGUGAACUUCAAGUCAGUGAGUGGUGUCAAGAACCCAGUACAGAAGCUUUGCAUUAGACGGUUAGUUAACAUAAUAAACUCCUGGAGAACCACAGAUGUUGUGAAGGGGACCUACUAUGCAAUUUGGAUAUGUGAAUACGUUAGGACGCCAACUGAGGAUCACGAAAUAGAAGGUUGCCCUUAAGUACCAGGAUAAACGCCUUUCCCCCAAUACAAUUACGACUGUGGUGAAAUUCAAGCCGUUUACCUCGUCGACGUCGUCUUUCCAUGUUAUCAGCUAGAGCACUGUGAAGAGGACCACCUGUUUUAGUCUACGUGGUAUUAAAGUCCGGAGAAGUCGCACUCUUUAACAGGUUCCCUUUUCUACCAAAACAACGACGACUGAAACGUUGAUGUCUUUAAGCACCACGACAUGGCAACUUAGGUUAUGACACCAAGGUAGUCCGUCUCCUCGCGUACAUAAAUACACAAAUAGUCGUAUUCUUGGAAUGAUAGAACGAUCACUAAGGUCGAAGGAGUGACUAUUUACCUCUUCUCCCAUAACGAGUACACUUCUCCGUAGAAGAACUUUUACGGAGUGUCUUGUAACAGUGACAACUUGUUUUUAAUAGUGCUCCUACCCCUCCUCUUUUACGGAUAGUACAGCCACCUAUGGCAAUAUAUGAGAGACUAGGUUUGUCUUUUCAUAGUUCUCGGAGGGGUGGACCCUUUCAGUAGUGGGACAGUUUCCUAAGAGAUGAACGGGAGUUGUCCGAUUCUCCUCUUUAUCUAGAUCUCUUCAGUUCUCGAUUCUCCUCACUGGGAUGGGUACUGUUCCUAAUACUUCAUACGUAGUCUCGCUUUUUAUUACGUACCUAAUAACGAUUUUAAAGAGCUCCUUUUCUUGAGAUAUACCGAUAUCUCUUCCCGCCGCUUUGUGAAGAGAUACGUAGAUGUCGACAACUCUUUAAAUCGUUGUCCAUGACGCUCCCUCGUAAGAGACGCCUGAUUUUCGUGGUCGUGGUCGUACUAAGGGUGCUAGGUCAGGUCGUGACGUGUACCAACAGUUGACCUAGUGAGGGAUUACACACAUUAACUACAGCUAGAGUGAGUACGUUAUUGACCUAGGUAUGGUCAACAUGUCGACGGGAAACCUUAUUUUAAUACGUCUCGUCCUUGGUCGUACAAGACGGAGAUCCAAGACGCCGGAAUACCCUAUGUCAUGAAUCCUUGUAAGAGUAAAGAUAGACUACAAUUUUUUUCUUCUAGUAAAGCUAGACAUUUACGGCUGCCUCCUGACGAUUGAGCAUAUACACAAUGCCCGGUCAAGAGAACGCGAACAUCUACCGAAUGGAACCUUUAAUUCGGAGGAAGUCUUUUUCUUUUGAACCUUUAAUUCCGGUUCGAACUUUCUUGAACAGAAAAGUCCCAUUUUCUUUAUUGAAUAAAAACCCCAACCCGAAUUGAAUGCUG
Molecule: ribosomal RNA, 2525 nt
Filed under: Triticum aestivum (bread wheat)
Lineage: Eukaryota; Viridiplantae; Streptophyta; Magnoliopsida; Poales; Poaceae
Description: partial small subunit ribosomal RNA
Source: RNAcentral